Molecule: ribosomal RNA, 404 nt
Filed under: uncultured bacterium
Lineage: Bacteria
Description: partial 16S ribosomal RNA
Rfam family: Bacterial small subunit ribosomal RNA
Source: RNAcentral
AUUGAACGCUGGCGGCAGGCCUAACACAUGCAAGUCGAGCGAGCGGCGGACGGGUGAGUAAUGCCUGGCAAUUGCGCAGGCGAGGGGGAUAACAGUGGGAAACGACUGAUAAUAGCGCAUACGAUUCGAUUCCCCAGGUGGGGUUAGCUAGUUGGUGAGGUAAUGGCUCACCAAGGCGACGAUCCCUAGCUGGUCUGAGAGGAUGAUCAGCCACACUGGAACUGAGACACGGUCCAGACUCCUACGGGAGGCAGCAGUGGGGAAUAUUGGACAAUGGGGGAAAGCCUGAUGCAGCCAUGCCGCGUGUGUGAAGAAGGCCUUCGGGUUGUAAAGCACUUUAAGCGAGGAGGCGUUACUCGCAGAAGAAGCACCGGCUAACUCCGUGCCAGCAGCCGCGGUAAUAC